This 1439-nucleotide ribosomal RNA is filed under the name uncultured organism. RNAcentral's name for it is "16S ribosomal RNA". It matches the Rfam family "Bacterial small subunit ribosomal RNA". The record is from RNAcentral.
GACGAACGCUGGCGGCGUGCUUAACACAUGCAAGUCGAACGGAAAGGCCCUGCUUUUGUGGGGUGCUCGAGUGGCGAACGGGUGAGUAACACGUGAGUAACCUGCCCUUGACUUUGGGAUAACUUCAGGAAACUGGGGCUAAUACCGGAUAGGAGCUCCUGCUGCAUGGUGGGGGUUGGAAAGUUUCGGCGGUUGGGGAUGGACUCGCGGCUUAUCAGCUUGUUGGUGGGGUAGUGGCUUACCAAGGCUUUGACGGGUAGCCGGCCUGAGAGGGUGACCGGCCACAUUGGGACUGAGAUACGGCCCAGACUCCUACGGGAGGCAGCAGUGGGGAAUAUUGCACAAUGGGCGGAAGCCUGAUGCAGCAACGCCGCGUGCGGGAUGACGGCCUUCGGGUUGUAAACCGCUUUCGCCUGUGACGAAGCGUGAGUGACGGUAAUGGGUAAAGAAGCACCGGCUAACUACGUGCCAGCAGCCGCGGUGAUACGUAGGGUGCGAGCGUUGUCCGGAUUUAUUGGGCGUAAAGGGCUCGUAGGUGGUUGAUCGCGUCGGAAGUGUAAUCUUGGGGCUUAACCCUGAGCGUGCUUUCGAUACGGGUUGACUUGAGGAAGGUAGGGGAGAAUGGAAUUCCUGGUGGAGCGGUGGAAUGCGCAGAUAUCAGGAGGAACACCAGUGGCGAAGGCGGUUCUCUGGGCCUUUCCUGACGCUGAGGAGCGAAAGCGUGGGGAGCGAACAGGCUUAGAUACCCUGGUAGUCCACGCUGUAAACGGUGGGUACUAGGUGUGGGGUCCAUUCCACGGGUUCCGUGCCGUAGCUAACGCUUUAAGUACCCCGCCUGGGGAGUACGGCCGCAAGGCUAAAACUCAAAGGAAUUGACGGGGCCCCGCACAAGCGGCGGAGCAUGCGGAUUAAUUCGAUGCAACGCGUAGAACCUUACCUGGGUUUGACAUGGAUCGGGAGUGCUCAGAGAUGGGUGUGCCUCUUUUGGGGUCGGUUCACAGGUGGCACAUGGCUGUCGUCAGCUCGUGUCGUGAGAUGUUGGGUUAAGUCCCGCAACGAGCGCAACCCUUGUUCACUGUUGCCAGCACGUUAUGGUGGGGACUCAGUGGAGACCGCCGGGGUCAACUCGGAGGAAGGUGGGGAUGACGUCAAGUCAUCAUGCCCCUUAUGUCCAGGGCUUCACGCAUGCUACAAUGGCUGGUACAGAGAGUGGCGAGCCUGUGAGGGUGAGCGAAUCUCGGAAAGCCGGUCUCAGUUCGGAUUGGGGUCUGCAACUCGACCUCAUGAAGUCGGAGUCGCUAGUAAUCGCAGAUCAGCAACGCUGCGGUGAAUACGUUCCCGGGGCUUGUACACACCGCCCGUCAAGUCAUGAAAGUUGGUAACACCCGAAGCCGGUGGCCUAACCGUUGUGGGGGAGCCGUCGAAGGUGGGACUAGUGA